AUGUCGGUUCUGAUCGUUACGAGCGUGGGCGACAUCGAGGUGGAUCUACACACAGACGAGUUGCCCAUCACCACUAAGAACUUCCUCAAGCUCUGCAAGAUCAAGUACUACAACGGCUGCCUCUUCCACAAGGUGGAGAGGGAUUUCCUGGCACACACAGGGGACCCAACCGGAAUCGGCACUGGAGGUGAUUCUGUGUACAAGAUCCUUCAUGGCGAUCAAGAUCGUUUUUUCGAUGACGAGUUCCGUCCGGACCUGAGGCAUUCAAAGGCUGGCACCGUCGCCAUGGCAGGUGGCUCGCAGUUCUACUUCACCUUGCGGGACGGCGUGGACGGUCUUGAUGGUAAACACACUGUACCAUUCAUGGACAUAAGGAUUAAACAUACAUAUGUCUUGGACGAUCCAUUCGAUGAUCCUCCUCAGCUUGCAGAACUCAUCCCUGGGGAUUCUCCCAUAGGAAAGCCACGUGCCGAGAUUGCAGAAGAUCGCUUAGACGUUCCUUCGGAUGAUGCACUUGCUAACAUUCCAGGAGUCGAACAGGCAGACAAUGUCUUGUAUAUUUCUAAACUUAACCCAAUUACAGAGGACGAGGAUCUGCGUACAAUCUUUUCUCGUUUCGGAACCAUGACAUCGGCUGAAAUAAUUCGUGACUGCAAGACCGGAGAUAGCUUAUGCUAUGCUUUCAUUGAAUUCGAGGCAAAGGAGGAUUGUGAGCGUGCAUAUUUUAAGAUGGAAGAUAGCCUGAUUCAUGACAGGAGGAUCCAGGUUGAUUUUGCACAAAAUGUUUCAAAACUGUGGGGUCGGUUCAGGCAAAGCACACGAAAUGCCGAUAAAGAUGGGCGCCUCAAGUGUGGUGCCCCGGAUCACCUGGCCCGAGAUUGUGAUCAAGGCGUUGAGGAGGAAAACAAAGGCACCAAUUAUGUUUUGGAAGAUCAAAACACUCACAGAGGCGGGAACAACCGCAGAAGUUAUGAUUUAGUGUUCGACGAUGACGGUACGUACUAA
This 1005-nucleotide ribosomal RNA is filed under the name Triticum aestivum (bread wheat). RNAcentral describes it as "partial small subunit ribosomal RNA". Lineage: Eukaryota; Viridiplantae; Streptophyta; Magnoliopsida; Poales; Poaceae. The record is from RNAcentral.